UUUUUUUUUAAAUAGAAAACUUAAACAUUUUCAACCCUAGCCUCCAUCUCUCAAGCCCGUUCGCACAUCAGCCUCCAUCUCUCAAGCCCUCACCCUCCAUCUCCGAUCUCAAGCCCUCACACCCCACCGUUAUGCUUUUGUACUUUCAUCAUCGGAUUCUGAAUCACCUUUAACAAGAAGCUAUUCUCAGAGACUCAUAUCCGAUUCUGCAAGCUCAAUUCGUUAGCUUUGUGGUGGAAUUUUAGCCUUGUUGGAGGUGGUGCAGAAGUUGAAGAUCGGAAUUUCACUACUUGGUCGGCUUUGCCAAAUCGCAUUUUUCGAUUUCAUGAAGUGGGUGGAGGUGACAAUUUUGAGUUGUUGAAAUAUCUGGUAGGAAGGAGGAAAAGGGUGAGGCAAUUGAUGAGGACUGAAUCUGGUCUCAAAGUCCAGCAACUAGACAUUCUGCAACAAGCAUUAAAGCUCACUGCAAACAGAUGCAGAUUUUGUAUCAGCAACACCCCAUGUAGAUAAGGGACCAAGUUCUCAAACUCAGGUCAGACACCCUUUCGGCUUAAUUUAUAAAAAUAUAUUUUUUAUGUAGAAAAUGCUCAAAAAAAUUUAUUUUACAGUUUUUAUAUGUAAAGUAGCCUUGUACACCUUGAUAAUUGAGUUUAUUGUUUCCAAUAGUACUACUUUGGUUUGGAAUUUGGGCAGAAUAAUUACGUGGUAUGGAUCUUCAUGUCAGUUUCUUUUCCUUAUACUUGAGUUUAGUGUAGUUUCUAUUAAUCAGCUUAAAAGCCAAUUAUUUGAAAUGGUCUUUAGUUCCUUUGACACUGUAAAUUUCCAAUAAUUGGUGAAUCUACUGUCAUUUUCAUUUGGUGUACUUGAAAUGGUUAACUUGCACCUGAGGGCAAAUUGAAGGUGUUUUUUUGCUGCAAACAAUUAACUGUAGCCUUAAAUUACUGAUAAUAACUGUAAAUUUACUUUUACUCAUCACAAAAAAAAUACUGAUUAUAACUUUAUUUUGGGAUUCCUUGUGAGUGAAGCUCUAGUGGAACGAGCACUUACUAAUAUGGGUAUUUUCAUUCUGUGUGUCUCUUGAUGACUAAUGCAGUCAUUCUAUCCAAUUCGUACUGUUUAUUACACCAAAACAAUGUCCUUUUGGAAAUAUAUAUAUAUAUAUAUAUAUAUAUAAAAGACUAAAGCUAAAACUAAAGAUAUAAUUGGACAAACUAAAUGGAAAGAUUAAAUUGAAAACACAUUAAAAUUAAAUAACUGAAAUGAAAGAGAAAAAUGAUACUUAAAUGAUUGAAUUGAAAAUAAAUUAAACUUAAGAGUCUUAGACUAAGUAAAUUGUAAUUUAAUUAAAACAGCAAUCUCAUAAGCGAAAAGAGUUCACUAUAUUGUUUGUUAAGGAUGGGAAGUAAAUUGUUUGGUAAGGAUGUAAAGUACCUUCCCAGAUGGCAAACUAAUUCUUACCGAGCUUCUUCUUUUCUUUUUUUUUUUUCUUUUUUUUAUUUAUUAAUUCUUGGAGCUAGGUAUCAACAACCAACAUUAAUUCGUUCUUAUCUUCAUUCCUGAAGCAAAAUAAUAACCCCCAGUUGUAUUGUAUCACUCUAGGCAUAUAAAGGGGAGGCCCACAGCCACACCACACUUUCAAUGUCUGCUUCUAUCAACUUGUCCUCCCACUUUGGUCAUGGAGCCAAAAUAAAAGUUUUAAAUUAACUAUGAUUUGUUUUAGAAGAAAAUUAAUGGUCAGUGAGCUAUGUAUCAAAGUGCAUUUUUGUUCCUAAGUUAUCAAUUGUUUUAAUUUAGUCUUUAAAAUUUUAAAAUUGAAUGACAAUUGCUAAUUUGAGGUCAAAAAUAUGAUUUUGGACCCUUAAUAAUUAUUAGCCCUAUAUGAGAACAGUAAUUGCUAAUGUGAUACACAUUUACUACAUAUGUGUCCUUAAAUCACAAAAUUCUGGUAAAAAAAAAAAAAACACAAGAUAAAUAGAAAUAUUUAAAUAUUGAUUUUGGAAGACUAGCAUAGAGCCUAAGGAUGAAACUGAAAUCUAAUGGCAUAAUUCAUAGACUAAUUAUAUUUUAAUUAAAUAAAUGAAACUAGGGAUACUUAAUCUAGGAUGGAGGAGAUCAUGAUUAAACAUAGACAUAUUGAAGUUUGCGUAUUUUUUUCAAAGACCAUCCAUGGUGAUUUAUUGAAUGAAAAUAUUUUAUCUCGCUUUGUGGGAUGGAUUAGAUACUAAUCAAGAAACUUGGCAUGUCAAAUUUUAUAGUCCUCACCACAAAUUUUAUCUAAAGUGCACUAUGAUUGUCUUAUCUUUUACAGAUAUACAUUGGAGGAAUGCCAUAAAAUUCAGUCGUUGUUGUAUUUCUAUGAAGUGGCAUUGGGUCAGAUGAUAAAUAAAGAGAAAACUAUGCUAUUUUUUAGCAGAAAUACUGAUGCACAAACGCAGGAUGCUAUCAAGUAGUCCUUCAAUGUCCCAACUAUACAACACUAUGAAAAAUAUCUGGGGCAUCCUUCCUUUAUUGGAAGAGAAAAGAAGAUUUGUUUUACUAAGGUGAAAGAACGGAUAUGGGCAAGGAUGCAAGGUUGGAAGGAAAAGCUUUUGUCCCAAGCUGGAAAGGGGGUUAUGAUCAAGGCUGUAAUUCAAUCCAUUCCUACUUACUCGAUGAGUGUUUUUAAAAUGCCGGUCAGUCUGUGUAAGGAAAUCGAAACAAUGAUUCAUAAGUUUUGGUGGGGCUAAGGUGAUUCAAAAAAGAUCCAUUAGGUGAAAUGGAGCUCCUUGUGUUCAUCAAAAUCAGUUGGUGUGAUGGGUUUUUGAGAUAUCCAAAAAUUUAAUAAUGCUUUAUUGGACAAAUAGGUGUGGAGAUUGAUUUACCAAAAAGACACUUUGCUCUACAAGGUUUUUAGUGCGAAAUACUUCCCUCAUGGGAGUAUUAUGGAAGCUCCUGUUCCUAAAAAGUGUUCUUAUGCUUGGCAGACUAUUUUACAAGCUCAGGAGGUCAUUGAGAAGUGUGCUAUUUGGCAAAUGGGCAGUGGGCAAGGGAUUGACGUGUGGAAGAACCGGUGGCUCCCGGACCCGACCUAUAACAAAAUUGUGUCCCCAAAGGGCGAGUACUCUGUAUCUCGGGUUAGUGAAUUGUUUUACCCGAACACAAGGACAUGGGAUCCUGGCAAGCUUGAGGAGACAUUCUACCCGUGGGAAGCUGAGUUGGUGAGUCGGAUUCAGGUGGGUGAAGGUAGUUUUGAGGACCUCCUGGUCUGGCCUCUGACUGUUGAUGUUUCCUAU
Long non-coding RNA from Quercus robur (English oak), 3272 nucleotides. RefSeq lists it as uncharacterized. The transcript has 5 exons. NCBI's taxonomy places the organism in Eukaryota, Viridiplantae, Streptophyta, Magnoliopsida, Fagales, Fagaceae. The record is from RefSeq and is a predicted model, not a curated record.